Molecule: ribosomal RNA, 377 nt
Filed under: uncultured bacterium
Lineage: Bacteria
Description: partial 16S ribosomal RNA
Rfam family: Bacterial small subunit ribosomal RNA
Source: RNAcentral
CCUACGGGUGGCAGCAGUGGGGAAUAUUGCACAAUGGGGGAAACCCUGAUGCAGCAACGCCGCGUGAGUGAAGAAGUAUUUCGGUAUGUAAAGCUCUAUCAGCAGGGAAGAAGAAAGACGGUCCCGGACUAAGAAGCCCCGGCGAACUACGUGCAAGCAGCCGCGGUAAUACGUAGGGAGCGAGGGUUGUCCGGAAUUACUGGGUGUAAAGGGAGUGUAGGCGGGGAUGCAAGUUGGGGGGCAAAGCUACCGGCUAAACUGGGAGUCGCACUCAAAACUGCAGCUCUUGAGUGGAGGAGAGGCAGGCGGAAUUCCUGGUGUAGCGGUGAAAUGCGUAGAUAUUAGGAGGAACACCGGUGGCGAAGGCGGCCUGCUGG